UUGGUUAAAGCGCCUGUCUAGUAAACAGGAGAUCCUGGGUUCGAAUCCCAGCGGUGCCUCAACCGAGCGUCCCGGCUCUCUUUUUACCA
RNAcentral lists this microRNA precursor (89 nucleotides) under Mustela putorius furo (domestic ferret). RNAcentral's name for it is "miRNA (ENSMPUG00000022064.1)". The stretch from base 1 to 59 matches the Rfam family "tRNA", at positions 16 to 71 of the family's 71-position model. Rfam says of the family: Transfer RNA (tRNA) molecules are approximately 80 nucleotides in length. Their secondary structure includes four short double-helical elements and three loops (D, anti-codon, and T loops). Lineage: Eukaryota; Metazoa; Chordata; Mammalia; Carnivora; Mustelidae. The record is from RNAcentral.